Molecule: transfer RNA, 75 nt
Filed under: Ketogulonicigenium vulgare
Lineage: Bacteria; Pseudomonadati; Pseudomonadota; Alphaproteobacteria; Rhodobacterales; Roseobacteraceae
Also listed under: 3 other names
Description: tRNA-Gln
Rfam family: tRNA
About the family: Transfer RNA (tRNA) molecules are approximately 80 nucleotides in length.
Source: RNAcentral
UGGGGUAUCGCCAAGUGGUAAGGCAGCGGUUUUUGGUACCGCCAUUCCCAGGUUCGAAUCCUGGUACCCCAGCCA